UUUCAUUGCUUUGCUGUGCAUUCUGUCCAAUUCUUUGUUCAAAAUGCCAAGAACCUGGACAAUUUGCAGUCAAGACCCUCCACCGGUAACACAAUUUCCAAAUUGGACUUAACAUUUUCAUUUUUCCAGAGCAGAUUGGAGGUAGAGAAGAAAGAAGGCAUUUCCUUCUUUUCAAAGACACAUCCUCAAAGUUGCAUAUAUUAUUCUUUCUCGCUUUAUAUGUCAGAUGUUAGGUAUAUGGCUACACUUCCUGGAAGCUUCCUGAGAAUUGUAGCAUUUAAGCAGCCAGCAUUCUAAAAUUAGAGUUCUAGUUCUAUGGAGGAAGGGAGACUAUUGGAGUUCCUCUAAGUUUCUGCCAUGAGCAUUUUCAGGUUACGUUGUCUACAUGUUAUCUAAUACCAAAACCUCUGUUAGUAUCUUCUUUAUUAUAUAGAAAAUAGGGAAUUCUAUCAGGCCAUAAAUACAUGUUUGUUUUAAAAUAAAAAUUAAAGUUCUAUUACAUAAAGAUUCUGAAAGAAUAUCUACAAAAUGAAGUUCUGCAUUUGGGAUAUGAACUUCCAAUUAUAUCAUUGGACUUGACUACUCCAUUUCUUUCCACAUUUAAAAAUCAAUCAGGGAGAAGCUAUUUUGAGAACUUAACACAGUAUUUAACAUGGGAUUUCUGAAUGAAGACAGUUUAUGGAUGAAUAAGGCAAAGGAGUUACUGAAUGUCUGGACUUCAGCGAAUUAAGACACUGAGACUUUCUCGCUAUUGAAGCUACCUUGAAACAAUAAACACUAAAUACCUAGUUGGUUUGCCAAAAGCAUAAAAUGUUACUUUUCGUAUUUGAUUUUCUUUCCCAAAUCUAUAAUAUAAUCCAGAAUUUGUACACAUAUUUUUUUCCUGAUAAUUAAACGUGUAGACAAUGGGAAUAUAAGAGUUUCCAAAUCCAUUCAAUCAUUUUAUGAACUUUUUCUACCUUCUUUGUGCUCCUGGGAAAAAAAUCAACACAUACAUUUUAAAAACAUAUUUGAUAACUGAAACUAGUUAACCUAAACCCAAAGAAGGCCUACCCUUCUACCAUGUCCAAAUUAAAACUAAAAUUAUUAACAGUUUGUUUCUUUACAUCCAUGAGAAUUUGCUUCAAUUAUUUCUUUUCAUGCCAGUUUCCUUUUCAAACCCUUCCUUAGACUUUCAUUAUAUGUUUUCUAGUUACAAAGUCCGGAAAAGAUAUGCAUAGAGAUUGGUGUAUCCAGGAACAGAAAA
This 1246-nucleotide long non-coding RNA is filed under the name Homo sapiens (human). RNAcentral's name for it is "HSALNT0301957". The record is from RNAcentral. Lineage: Eukaryota; Metazoa; Chordata; Mammalia; Primates; Hominidae.